Esox lucius (northern pike) is the source of this 536-nucleotide long non-coding RNA. RefSeq lists it as uncharacterized. The transcript is spliced from 2 exons. NCBI's taxonomy places the organism in Eukaryota, Metazoa, Chordata, Actinopteri, Esociformes, Esocidae. The record is from RefSeq and is a predicted model, not a curated record.
ACUAGAAAGGAGGAAUGGAGCAGAAAGAAAAUGACAAUGUUUUAAUAAUUUAACCAACUCUUGAAUGGCCUCUUAUCCUCAGCAUCCAAACAAUAAGAAAGCACAUACAAUCAUAAUGUCUGUGUUUACCCACAGGGAUCCAGCGAUGGGGAGACUGGCCCUGGUACAUGUGAUCCAGCGACACAGUGGGCAGCACACCAUCAGCAGGCCACUCUGGAGCCUGGAUAACGCCUGGAGACACUGCCCACAGAAGGUGUGCUUGCAGUGAAGCAUUCGAGGGGUCUUGUCCCUGCGUGAGUAGGACUGGAGGCAGACGCAGCACUCCAUGUCUUCACUCGUUAGUCCCAUGUCUGGUUGGCUGGGGUGUGGAUGGACACAAGAUGGACAGCUUGAGCGCAGAGGAACUCUGGAUGUAGAAACAGUGUUCUGACAGGAAAAAUGAAACUGGUUGAAUGUCUGUUUUCCUCUUUCAAGGUUUAUAUUGGUGCUGAUAUAGGUUUGUUCUCAAGUGUGGGUCAGAAAUCUACAAGAAAAAA